GCGGAUUGGCAAACUUCACACACCUUUGACAACAUUAUGGAGAACUCUCAGUAAUGCCUUUUCCUCACGAUGUUUUCCUUCACCGUUAAAUCCAGUGAUAUUUAAAAGCUUAAAACGCGUAAAACUCCGAAUA
This is a long non-coding RNA of Maniola jurtina (meadow brown), 133 nucleotides long. RefSeq lists it as uncharacterized. Lineage: Eukaryota; Metazoa; Arthropoda; Insecta; Lepidoptera; Nymphalidae. The record is from RefSeq and is a predicted model, not a curated record. The transcript is spliced from 3 exons.